AACUUAGUGGCGGACGGGUGAGUAACGCGUGAGUAACCUGCCUUUCAGAGGGGGAUAACGUCCUGAAAAGGACGCUAAUACCGCAUGAUAUAUUUGUGCCGCAUGGUAUGGAUAUCAAAGGAGCAAUCCGCUGGAAGAUGGACUCGCGUCCGAUUAGCUAGUUGGAGGGGUAACGGCCCACCAAGGCGACGAUCGGUAGCCGGACUGAGAGGUUGAACGGCCACAUUGGGACUGAGACACGGCCCAGACUCCUACGGGAGGCAGCAGUGGGGGAUAUUGCGCAAUGGGGGAAACCCUGACGCAGCAACGCCGCGUGAAGGAAGAAGGUUUUCGGAUUGUAAACUUCUUUUCUAAGGGACGAAGAAGUGACGGUACCUUAGGAAUAAGCUCCGGCUAACUACGUGCCAGCAGCCGCGGUAAUACGUAGGGAGCAAGCGUUGUCCGGAUUUACUGGGUGUAAAGGGUGCGUAGGCGGCAAUGCAAGUCAGGUGUGAAAUGCACGGGCUCAACCCGUGAGCUGCAUUUGAAACUGUGUUGCUUGAGUGAGGUAGAGGCAGGCGGAAUUCCCGGUGUAGCGGUGAAGUGCGUAGAGAUCGGGAGGAACACCAGUGGCGAAGGCGGCC
This 623-nucleotide ribosomal RNA is filed under the name uncultured Lachnospiraceae bacterium. RNAcentral's name for it is "bacterial SSU rRNA". It matches the Rfam family "Bacterial small subunit ribosomal RNA", at positions 89 to 726 of the family's 1533-position model. Lineage: Bacteria; Bacillati; Bacillota; Clostridia; Lachnospirales; Lachnospiraceae. The record is from RNAcentral.